Molecule: long non-coding RNA, 2053 nt
Organism: Oreochromis aureus
Lineage: Eukaryota; Metazoa; Chordata; Actinopteri; Cichliformes; Cichlidae
Source: Ensembl
GGACAACAGAGUGUAGAGACCAGCUUAAACACACCACCUCAUCGUGUUUUCAUUCUUCACCAGUACAGCACGUCAGUUCUUCCUCCAUUCACAAAGCAGCUGGGUCAAGAACCAAGUGUUUCAGGAAUUACUGAAAAGAGUACAAGAAGAAGUUGAUAAAUACAAGGAAGAUGAUGUGUAUAGAAGAGCUGCAAUCACAAAAAUAUUUAAUCAUGCAAAUUCACUGGAUAACAAAGAAAAACUGGAAAUAUUCAAGGAAACCCUUCAAACAGCGAUAGAAGAGGAAGAGAGACUGAAGGAAGAAUCCAAGUACAAAUUGAGAAUCGCCUCAAAACAAUUCAAUGAAAAAAAGAAGGAAUUUAUUCGCCAAUUGGAACAAGCAAUGUUAUUAUCAUAUUAUUCUCCACCACUGCAGGAAAUAGUUGACAUCGGAUUUCACAUGUUGAAAAAAACCAGAGCUUACUUAGACAAGAAGCUGGAUUUACUGCAAGAAUAGAGAACUCAGAAAAGAUAAAUGAAAGGAGUAAAUGAUGAGCUUCAGAAAAUUGUAAGAGAAACAAUAAAUUGAACUUGUGUUUCUGUUUUCAUUUGUUGACCUAUGUAACGUAUAUCAUGUAUUUGUGAAAGGACAUAAUCUGAGUUGUUUUUGUGACUUUCUCUAAUUGAAUACUUCUUAGUUGCAUAACAUCUUGUCCUAUAAUGGUCUCUGAGUGGUAUUAUGAAGUGAAAAGCUUUACUCCUGGUGUGAGGCCUAAGCAAGAGCACAGUUGAGCUCUUCGGUCUUGAUGCUAUAAUGACUGCAGUAGUGAAACCUGGAUCCUUGGGUAAGCAGCACAACUUGUCAGUUUUUUGCAGUUAUUUAAGUUCCAGUGUUGCAGUUGUUUAGGCUGUGUUUAACUUCCUUAUCAAAGAGAUCAGAAAAAGGCAGACCUGCAUAGUGUAUGAUCCGUUCUGUUCUGAAACUACACCUGAGGUUUCCAAAUCUAGCUUGUGCUUCCACAUGUAUGAUCUGGUGUUGGCAGCAUGUAACCAGUCACAGACAUGAACAGGUCUACUGGCAAGUUGUACUCCCACCUCAUGGAUUCUUUGCUGACAGUAACAUUAUUUUGAUCAUAUUAGCUAAUGUAAUCAAGACAAGAAUAAUUUAAACACAUAUAGUACAGUGUGUGUGAGUGUGUGUGUCAAUGUUUUAAUUUACUUCUUUAUUUAGAACAGUUAUUCUGAUUAGAAAAAUACUGCUACAAUGUAUACCAUUACAUAUUAACAUAUAUUGAGUUAGGUAAUAAAAACUGUGACAUUUAUGGGGAAAUAAAGCUGCUGUGGCUACUUGGUGACAGAAAUUCAGUUUUUAUAAAUUUGAAUGGUACAGUUCUGCCAUAAAAGUCCAAUCAGUAUCAAACAAUUACAAUUUAAGAAAAUUAAUUAUAUUGUUUAUGAUGUGUGGUAGAAUAGUUUCCUUAAUGUUUUGCAUAGCAUAUGAUUGUAAUUUGUAAUGUGAUCCUUAUCUUAUAAUUAUGACAUAAUUCAUGAAAUAUAUGAAUGAUUAAUGUGUUAUCUAAUCAUUAAGUUAUUUAAUUCAACAUGAAGGUACUGACUCUCUGGCUUUAUAUCAUUUAAAUGUACUGAUGAACUGAGCAGUUUUAUUCACUGAUUAAAGAGUUUGUAGUCACAGUAAAAUUUGAAUAAUACAUGAAUAUAUUUAUGAAAAAUUCAAUCUAAACAUUUGUGAAUAUUUUUUCUGUAACUGUAAAUUAGACCAACAACAGCCAUGUCGCCUUACAAAUUCACAAUAUGAUGGCCUCAUGUGUGAGUGGUGUGUAUGGUGUGCUCAAUACACACCCAUCCAGUGAGCUAAUAUUGAGGAUGAUGAUGGAGGACAAGACACUGGAAAUUUUCACAGACUGAGGCUUGCCUGUCAAGAAUUCCAGCACCAGUGGUUCGAGUCCCAACAAUAAAAGUGGCUAGUGUCUGUGGAUUAAUGGUAUUAAAUGCAAAAUUAAAGUCCAGAAAGAGUAGUCAGACAUAUACACUCCAAGUCAAAACUGUGGACACA